RNAcentral lists this microRNA precursor (114 nucleotides) under Pelobates cultripes (western spadefoot toad). The record is from RNAcentral. Lineage: Eukaryota; Metazoa; Chordata; Amphibia; Anura; Pelobatidae.
GUUUCUAUAUGCGUUUCGCCACAAAGGCUUCAUCAAGUAGAAACAGUAUACUAUACUUUUUUUUUAUACUGUUUCUACUUGAUGAAGCCUUUGUGGCGAAACGCGUAUAGAAAC